RNAcentral lists this ribosomal RNA (443 nucleotides) under uncultured bacterium. RNAcentral's name for it is "partial 16S ribosomal RNA". It matches the Rfam family "Bacterial small subunit ribosomal RNA", at positions 338 to 795 of the family's 1533-position model. The record is from RNAcentral.
CCUACGGGAGGCAGCAGUGGGGAAUAUUGGGCAAUGGGCGCAAGCCUGACCCAGCAACGCCGCGUGAAGGAAGAAGGCUUUCGGGUUGUAAACUUCUUUUCUGAGGGACGAAGAAAGUGACGGUACCUCAGGAAUAAGCCACGGCUAACUGCGUGCCAGCAGCCGCGGUAAUACGUAGGGGGCAAGCGGGAUACGGAUAUAUUGGGUGUAAAGGGCGGGGAGGCGGGAAAGCAAGUCAGAUGUGAAAACUCAGGGCUCAACCCUGAGCCUGCAUUUGAAACUGUUUUACUUGAGUGCUGGAGAGGCGAGCGGAAUUCCGUGUGUAGCGGUGAAAUGCGUAGAUAUACGGAGGAACACCAGUGGCGAAGGCGGAUUGCUGGACAGUAACUGACGCUGAGGCGCGAAAGCGUGGGGAGCAAACAGGAUUAGAUACCCCGGUAGUC